Molecule: long non-coding RNA, 431 nt
Organism: Pan troglodytes (chimpanzee)
Lineage: Eukaryota; Metazoa; Chordata; Mammalia; Primates; Hominidae
Exons: 3
Source: RefSeq, a predicted model, not a curated record
GUGAUGCCCAGUCAACAGAAUGGAGAAAAGAGAAAUUUGGUUUGAAAUGAAAUUUGAGUCUUGAGAGAGGGCGGAUAUGAAGGAGACUCAAACAAGCCACGUGGGAGCAUCUGAAGGCCUGGAGAUGAGGGCCUGUUGCAUGGCUGUGAAAAUUUGGCCUUUAAAAUAACUAGGCAUGGGCCAGAAAUCCCAGCCGGCAGCUGCGACCACCAACUCCCCAACACUGAGAUCUGACGUGCCCCCAGAUUCCCUGGGCUCAGAAAACAGGACACGCCGAGGACAUAGAAGCCUGGCACCAGGUGCAGAGCUUCCGCCACCAAGGAUGUUCCAGCAGACACCACACAGCCGCGUGGCCUGGACUCGAAGCCAUCGAAGUUUUCAAUCUCUAAGUCCUUAUUUCUUGCCAGCCCAACUAUUAAUAAAUCAAAAGC